Molecule: small nucleolar RNA, 143 nt
Organism: Arvicanthis niloticus (Nile rat)
Lineage: Eukaryota; Metazoa; Chordata; Mammalia; Rodentia; Muridae
Product: small nucleolar RNA SNORA48
Source: RefSeq, a predicted model, not a curated record
AUUCACUGGCAAUGGGGAAAGAGACACCUUGUUGGUGGUGUUGUUCUUAUAUCAGCCACAGGCAGAGCAGAUGGCAGUCCUUUGUUCAUCCUAGCUUGAUAUGUGGCUUGAGGGCCAACCCUGUCUUUGCCUAGGACUCAUAA